ACUCUGACUUGGCUCUUUAAGUUAUAUAUUUCCAAGUUGCUUAAUUUUUGCAGAAUCAUCAUCCUUGGAGAUAAAAUUAGAGUGUUAAUCAUAAUCCAACACUCUUACCCCUCCUGGCAUAGUUCAUGGGGGUAUUGCUCAGAUAGGGCAUAAGCUAUGGGUGGGGUGGGAGAAGUGGUGGUAUAGUAUCUGGUAGGACCAGUACUCAGAAAAAAAAAAAAAACAGAAAAAGGAUCAAGCCAUGAACUCUGAUGUGAGUCUGGCGGGAAUAACAGCAUAAACAGAAAAGCGGCCAUCCACAAGGAGAGAAAGGGCAGAGGCUUCACCUUACCUUUACAGCCACACUUCUUGCAAGUAGUGUUCAAGACAGCCUCAAGGGUGAUCUUCUGCCCAGUGUAAUCCUGGAAGGACCGCCUCCGCCUCUCUUCUUGCCUAUAAUUAAAAAGAUACUGACUUCUGGCCCCCUUAAGAGAUAUGGCCAGAGAUACUACAAGGUAUCUCUCUCCUGGAUAAAUAUGACAAGUCUAAAAGCAUUAACAGUGAAAAACUAGGCUGGGCGUGGUGGCUCAAGCCUGUAAUCCCAGCACUUUGGGAGGCCGAGGCGGGUGGAUCACGAGGUCAAAA
Molecule: long non-coding RNA, 624 nt
Organism: Cebus imitator (Panamanian white-faced capuchin)
Lineage: Eukaryota; Metazoa; Chordata; Mammalia; Primates; Cebidae
Exons: 3
Source: RefSeq, a predicted model, not a curated record